This 291-nucleotide ribosomal RNA is filed under the name Proteus mirabilis. RNAcentral describes it as "partial 23S ribosomal RNA". It matches the Rfam family "Bacterial large subunit ribosomal RNA", at positions 1600 to 1873 of the family's 2925-position model. The record is from RNAcentral. Lineage: Bacteria; Pseudomonadati; Pseudomonadota; Gammaproteobacteria; Enterobacterales; Morganellaceae.
CCCCGCUUCCAGGAAAAGCCUCUAAGCUUCAGGUUACCAACAAUCGUACCCCAAACCGACACAGGUGGUCAGGUAGAGAAUACUCAGGCGCUUGAGAGAACUCGGGUGAAGGAACUAGGCAAAAUGGUGCCGUAACUUCGGGAGAAGGCACGCUGGCGGUAGGUAAAGUCCCUUGCGGACGGCGCUGAAGCCAGUCGAAGAUACCAGCUGGCUGCAACUGUUUAUUAAAAACACAGCACUGUGCAAACACGAAAGUGGACGUAUACGGUGUGACGCCUGCCCGGUGCUGGA